UACGGGGGGGACAAGCGUUGUUCGGAAUUACUGGGCGUAAAGGGCUGGUAGGCGGCCAACUAAGUCGGAUGUGAAAUUCCCAGGCUUAACCUGGGAACUGCAUCCGAUACUGGUCGGCUUGAAUCCGGGAGAGGGAUGCAGAAUUCCAGGUGUAGCGGUGAAAUGCGUAGAUAUCUGGAGGAAUACCGGUGGCGAAGGCGGCAUCCUGGACCGGCAUUGACGCUGAACAGCGAAAGCUAGGGGAGCAAACGGG
RNAcentral lists this ribosomal RNA (253 nucleotides) under uncultured bacterium. RNAcentral's name for it is "partial 16S ribosomal RNA". It matches the Rfam family "Bacterial small subunit ribosomal RNA", at positions 524 to 776 of the family's 1533-position model. The record is from RNAcentral.